AUGAACAACCUCAAGGACGAGGAUACUGGUGCCUAUUUCUGUGCCAAAUCACCAAGUAGUGGGGAUGCUGUUGGUGGUCAUGUUGACAAUGCCGGGCUCCGGGCGGCCGUGACCCUGCUGGAGUGCGGGGGGGACCUCCAGCCCCCCGGGGGGUCCCUGACUCUGCUCUGCCGCGGGACUGGGUUCAAUUUUGGAGAAUUUGGGAUGGGCUGGUACCGCCAAAGACCCGGGAAGGCGCUGGAAUUUGUCGCAAGUAUGCACAAGGACGGCAGAACCUUCUACACGCCCUCAGUCAAGGGCCGGUUCAGGAUCUCCAGGGACAACGGGCAGAGCUCGGUGACGCUGACCAUGAACAGCCUCAAGUUGUGGCAGAACCGGUGA
Non-coding RNA from Ficedula albicollis (Collared flycatcher), 381 nucleotides. Lineage: Eukaryota; Metazoa; Chordata; Aves; Passeriformes; Muscicapidae. The record is from the annotation of a RefSeq genome assembly.